UACGAAGGGGGCUAGCGUUGCUCGGAAUCACUGGGCGUAAAGGGCGCGUAGGCGGCCCACUAAGUCAGACGUGAAAUCCCCCGGCUUAACCUGGGAACUGCGUCUGAUACUGGAGGGCUCGAGUAUGGGAGAGGGAUGUAGAAUUCCAGGUGUAGCGGUGAAAUGCGUAGAUAUCUGGAGGAAUACCGGUGGCGAAGGCGGCAUCCUGGACCAUUACUGACGCUGAGGCGCGAAAGCUAGGGGAGCAAACGGG
This 253-nucleotide ribosomal RNA is filed under the name uncultured bacterium. RNAcentral's name for it is "partial 16S ribosomal RNA". It matches the Rfam family "Bacterial small subunit ribosomal RNA", at positions 524 to 776 of the family's 1533-position model. The record is from RNAcentral.